AUACAUGCAAGUCGAGCGGACAGAAGGGAGCUUGCUCCCGGAUGUUAGCGGCGGACGGGUGAGUAACACGUGGGUAACCUGCCUGUAAGACUGGGAUAACUCCGGGAAACCGGAGCUAAUACCGGAUAGUUCCUUGAACCGCAUGGUUCAAGGAUGAAAGACGGUUUCGGCUGUCACUUACAGAUGGACCCGCGGCGCAUUAGCUAGUUGGUGAGGUAACGGCUCACCAAGGCGACGAUGCGUAGCCGACCUGAGAGGGUGAUCGGCCACACUGGGACUGAGACACGGCCCAGACUCCUACGGGAGGCAGCAGUAGGGAAUCUUCCGCAAUGGACGAAAGUCUGACGGAGCAACGCCGCGUGAGUGAUGAAGGUUUUCGGAUCGUAAAGCUCUGUUGUUAGGGAAGAACAAGUGCAAGAGUAACUGCUUGCACCUUGACGGUACCUAACCAGAAAGCCACGGCUAACUACGUGCCAGCAGCCGCGGUAAUACGUAGGUGGCAAGCGUUGUCCGGAAUUAUUGGGCGUAAAGGGCUCGCAGGCGGUUUCUUAAGUCUGAUGUGAAAGCCCCCGGCUCAACCGGGGAGGGUCAUUGGAAACUGGGAAACUUGAGUGCAGAAGAGGAGAGUGGAAUUCCACGUGUAGCGGUGAAAUGCGUAGAGAUGUGGAGGAACACCAGUGGCGAAGGCGACUCUCUGGUCUGUAACUGACGCUGAGGAGCGAAAGCGUGGGGAGCGAACAGGAUUAGAUACCCUGGUAGUCCACGCCGUAAACGAUGAGUGCUAAGUGUUA
Molecule: ribosomal RNA, 791 nt
Filed under: unidentified microorganism
Description: bacterial SSU rRNA
Rfam family: Bacterial small subunit ribosomal RNA
Source: RNAcentral